This 114-nucleotide non-coding RNA is filed under the name Tissierella creatinophila DSM 6911. RNAcentral describes it as "Bacterial small subunit ribosomal RNA". It matches the Rfam family "Bacterial small subunit ribosomal RNA", at positions 1424 to 1533 of the family's 1533-position model. Lineage: Bacteria; Bacillati; Bacillota; Tissierellia; Tissierellales; Tissierellaceae. The record is from Rfam by way of RNAcentral.
AAGCCAGUGAGCUAACCUAUUUAUAGGAGGCAGCUGUCGAAGGUAGGGUCGAUGACUAGGGUGAAGUCGUAACAAGGUAGCCGUAUCGGAAGGUGCGGCUGGAUCACCUCCUUU